Molecule: long non-coding RNA, 1218 nt
Organism: Cydia pomonella (codling moth)
Lineage: Eukaryota; Metazoa; Arthropoda; Insecta; Lepidoptera; Tortricidae
Exons: 4
Source: RefSeq, a predicted model, not a curated record
AACUGUUAGAUUUAAAUAAGGUUAUGAUACAGUUUUCAUUAUAUAAUAUUAUGGUACGAUCUACCUGAUGUGAUGAUGGAGAUAGGAGUUGGUCAUAGGAACUCUAUGAUGAAACAACGUAACCUAAUUGUGUUUGGACAUUUUUAGAAUGAACUUGAUGAAUAUUAUUUGCCAGUGGUAAAAUAAGUCAGCGAUAAAAGCUUGUAGCAAAAAUGUUUUAUUUACCAAAAACUUAUUCGAGCUCUAGUCAGUUCUAUAAUUAUAGGUCGUGUCCAUGAUGACGCGCAGAUUUAUGAAAUCUAACCCUUAAUAACAUGACAAUACGAAUCAAGGCACGCGCCUUCGUGAAUGACACGAUCUAUAUUCUUGUUCGUUGUCUUACAGGGUGAUUUUCGCGUUGGGAUGCAUACUAGCCCAUGUCUGCGUGACUGAUAACCAUGCUAUAGAAAACCCAGAUAUUGUGGAAGAGUCAUACAACUCAGGCUACAUCAUGGCAUAUAGAGUUGUGGAAACCCUGCAGACAAGUUUCAUCAUGUCGGGUCUUCUCCUUUCCUAUAAGGUACUGACCUCAGAAGAACAAGUGUCAUGGAGGAACCUGCACAAAGCUGUAAUAUGGAGAUAUCUCAGAUUCACGCCAACAUAUGCUCUGCAGCUUUUUUUUAUCGCUACUUGGAUGAGAUACUUAGGAAAUGGACCUUUCUGGAACGCAACAAUGGGCUUGGAAGUUGAUGAUUGCCGGCGAGACUGGUGGCUCCAUAUCUUAUACAUUCACAACUACGUCGACAGCUCUCAAUGCAUGCUACAUUCGUGGUGAGAAAUUGCACAUACUUCUUGUUGACGCAAGGCUCGGAAACCGGUUAAAUUUGCCUUUUUAAACCGAUUUUUAGAAUCAAGAAUCAUUUAUUUGUCAUGAUCACCAAUAAUUUAUAUUUAGGGGGCCAUUUCUAUAAAGUUCUUAUCAGAUGAAUCUGUUUAAAACAACGAAAACCGGUUUAUUCCUACGCACCAGCUAUGCUCGGUGUUUAUGUUUACGGGGCAUACCGCCGGCCGGCCGGACCUCUAUUGUCAAAUAAACCGGUUUAUUUAGGUUAUAAUAAAGCUCUUAAAACGUUCGCGUUCUUAUGAAAGUUCGGGGUAAAACCGAAAUAAGCUGGUAUUUACCGUUAUUUUUUAAACCGGUUCUGAGCUUUGAUCUGACAAUUUUUAAUAACGGUAUUC